GAUUACUCGAUGCAGCCUCCUAACCAGGAGCUUAUUGUGCAAGAUUUGCAUGACAACAUGUGGAUAUUUCGUCACAUUUAUCGUGCUGCUUACUGUCAGGUGACUGAACAUUGGGGGCAUCACUUUAUGAGCAGCCACAAGUCUACCUAUCAGUUCAUAGUGCAGACACAUUCCAGAUACUACUUUGCAGAUGAUGGCUUUCAUUCAUGUUUCAUCGCGAGCACUAUGACAAAGAAGUAAGAAGAAAGCAAGGCAUGCAUGAUCUAGGCAUGCAUGCACAUUCUUCUAAUGCUGAAUUUUCUUUGAAUUUGGAUGUAGUGCUGAUUUUGCUAAGAAUUUGAUGUAUAUUUGCAUGCAAACAAAAUUCGAAUGCUGGGAGUUAUGUACAUAUUCUUAUAAUACUAUCCUAAUUGGAAAA
This is a long non-coding RNA of Hordeum vulgare subsp. vulgare (domesticated barley), 418 nucleotides long. RefSeq lists it as uncharacterized. NCBI's taxonomy places the organism in Eukaryota, Viridiplantae, Streptophyta, Magnoliopsida, Poales, Poaceae. The transcript is spliced from 3 exons. The record is from RefSeq and is a predicted model, not a curated record.